CAAGUCGGACGGGAUUGGGGAGCUUGCUCCCCAUGAGAGUGGCGCACGGGUGCGUAACACGUAUGUAACCUACCUUAGUCAGGGGGAUAGCCUCUCGAAAGAGAGAUUAACACCGCAUAACAUAAUGAUAUGGCAUCAUAUUAUUAUCAAAUAUUUAUAGGACUAAGAUGGGCAUGCGGAACAUUAGCUAGUUGGUAAGGUAACGGCUUACCAAGGCUACGAUGUUUAGGGGAUCUGAGAGGAUGACCCCCCACACUGGUACUGAGACACGGACCAGACUCCUACGGGAGGCAGCAGUAAGGAAUAUUGGUCAAUGGACGCAAGUCUGAACCAGCCAUGCCGCGUGCAGGAAGACGGCCCUACGGGUUGUAAACUGCUUUUGUACCGGAAUAAACCCUUUUACGUGUAAGAGGCUGAAUGUACGGUAAGAAUAAGGAUCGGCUAACUCCGUGCCAGCAGCCGCGGUAAUACGGAGGAUCCAAGCGUUAUCCGGAUUUAUUGGGUUUAAAGGGUGCGUAGGCGGCCUAUUAAGUCAGGGGUGAAAGACGGUAGCUCAACUAUCGCAGUGCCUUUGAUACUGAUGGGCUUGAAUGUACUUGAGGUAGGCGGAAUGUGACAAGUAGCGGUGAAAUGCAUAGAUAUGUCACAGAACACCAAUUGCGAAGGCAGCUUACUAAAGUAUGAUUGACGCUGAGGCACGAAAGCGUGGGGAUCAAACAGGAUUAGAUACCCUGGUAGUCCACGCCCUAAACGAUGAACACUCGAUGUUGGCGAUAUACGGUCAGCGUCUAAGCGAAAGCGUUAAGUGUUCCACCUGGGGA
RNAcentral lists this ribosomal RNA (821 nucleotides) under uncultured Sphingobacteriia bacterium. RNAcentral describes it as "bacterial SSU rRNA". It matches the Rfam family "Bacterial small subunit ribosomal RNA", at positions 58 to 879 of the family's 1533-position model. Lineage: Bacteria; Pseudomonadati; Bacteroidota; Sphingobacteriia. The record is from RNAcentral.